UACGUAGGGCGCAAGCGUUGUCCGGAAUUAUUGGGCGUAAAGAGCUCGUAGGCGGUUUGUCGCGUCUGCUGUGAAAGCCCGGGGCUCAACCCCGGGUCUGCAGUGGGUACGGGCAGACUAGAGUGCAGGUAGGGGAGACUGAAUUCCUGGUGUAGCGGUUGAAAUGCGCAGAUAUCAAGGAGGAACACCGAUGGCGAAGGCAGGUCUCUGGGCUGUUACUGACGCUGAGGAGCGAAAGCAUGGGGAGCGAACAGGAUUAGAUACCCCGGUAGUCC
RNAcentral lists this ribosomal RNA (275 nucleotides) under uncultured bacterium. RNAcentral's name for it is "partial 16S ribosomal RNA". It matches the Rfam family "Bacterial small subunit ribosomal RNA", at positions 524 to 796 of the family's 1533-position model. The record is from RNAcentral.